RNAcentral lists this long non-coding RNA (2299 nucleotides) under Chlorocebus sabaeus (green monkey). Its description in RNAcentral is "H19, imprinted maternally expressed transcript (H19)". The stretch from base 1001 to 1073 matches the Rfam family "mir-675 microRNA precursor family". The record is from RNAcentral. Lineage: Eukaryota; Metazoa; Chordata; Mammalia; Primates; Cercopithecidae.
GGGAGGGGGUGGGAGGGGUGGGGGGUAACGGGGGAAACUGGGGAAGUGGGGAACCGUGGGGCAACCAGGGGAAGAUGGGGUGCUGGAGGAGAGUUUGUGGGAGCCAAGGAGCACCUUGGACAUCUGGAGUCUGGCAGGCGUGACGACGGGUGGAGGGGCUAGCUCGGGGCAGGGCUGUGGGGUCUGGGGCCAGUGAGGAGAGCGGUGUAGGCGCCCAGGCAUCGUGCAGAGGGAGCAACAUCAGCUGGGGGCGAUGGGCCCGAGCUAGGGCUGGAGAGAAGGGGGAGCCAGGCAUUCAUCCCGGUCACUUUUGGUUACAGGACGUGGCAGCUGGUUGGACGAGGGGAGCUGAUGGGCAGGGUUUGAUCCCAGGGCCUGGGCAACGGAGGUGUAGCUGGCAGCAGCGGGCAGGUGAGAACCCCAUCUGCCGGGCAGGUGAGUCCCUUCCCUCCUCAGGCCUCGCUUCCCCAGCCUUCUGAAAGAAGGAGGUUUAGGGGAUCGAGGGCUGGCGGGGAGAAGCAGAUACCCUCCCGGCAGAGGGGCAGGAUGGGGGCAGGAAAGUUAGCAAAGGUGACAUCUUCUCGGGGGGAGCCGAGACUGCGCAAGGCUGGGGGGCUGCGGGCUCAUCCCAGGCAGAAAGGGCAAGAGGGCAGGGACGGAGCACAGGGUGGCCAGCGUAGGGUCCAGCACGUGGGGUGGUACCCCAGGCCCGGGUCAGACAGGGACAAGGCAGGGGACACAGGACAGAGGGGUCCCCAGCUGCCACCUCACCCACCGCAAUUCAUUUAGUAGCAGGCACAGGGGCAGCUCUGGCAGGGCUUUCUCAGGCCUAUGCCAGAGCCUCGAGGGCUGGAGAGCGGGAAGACAGGCAGUGCUCGGGGAGUUGCAGCAGGACGUCACCAGGAGGGCAAAGCGGCCGCGGGAGGGGCCCCGGGACAUUACGCAGCAAGGAGGCUGCAGGGGCUUGGCCUGCGGGCGCCGUUCCCACGAGGCACUGCGGCCCAGGGUCUGGUGCGGAGAGGGCCCACAGUGGACUUGGUGACACUGUAUGCCCUCACCGCUCAGCCCCUGGGGCUGGCUUGGCAGGCAGUACAGCAUCCAGGGGAGUCAAGGGCAUGGGGCGAGACCAGACUAGGCGAGGCGGGCGGGGCGGAGUGAAUGAGAGCUCUCAGGAGGGAGGCUGGCGCAGGCAGGGGUGAGGAGCACAGCAGGCGGCGAGCGGGAGGCACUGGCCUCCAGAGCCCGUGGCCAAGGCGGGCCUCAUGGGCGACGACGGAGCCGGGAUCGGUGCCUCAGCGUUCGGGCUGGAGACGAGGCCAGGUCUCCAGUCGGGGUGGACGUGCCCACCAGCUGCCGAAGGCCGGGACGCCAGGUCCGGCGGACUUGCCGAGUGGGACAUGACAUGGUCCGGUGUGACGGCGAGGACAGAAGGGGCGCGUCCGGCCUUCCUGAACACCCUAGGCUGGUGGGGCUGCGGCAAGAAGCGGGUCUGUUUCUUUACUUCUCCCACGGAGUCGGCACACUACAGCUGCCCUCUGGGCUCCCAGAACCCACAACAUGAAAGAAUGGUGCUACCCAGCUCAAGCCUGGGCCUUUGAAUCCGGACACAAAACCCUCUAGUUGGAAUCGAACACGCUGCACUUUACAACCACUGCACUACUUGACUCAGGAAUCGGCUCCGGAAGGUGAAGCUAGAGGAACAAGACCUCAUCAACCCAACACCAAAGACGCCAUCGGACCAGCAGCGCCCGCAGCACCCACCCCCCACCAGCGACUCCAUCUUCAUGGCCACCCCCUGCGGCGGACGGUUGACCACCAGACACCGCGUCAUCCCAGAGCUGAGCUCCUCCAGCGGGAUGACCCCGUCCCCACCACCUCCCUCUUCUUCUUCUUCAUCCUUCUGUCUCUUUGUUUCUGAGCUUUCCUGUCUUUCCUUUCUCUGAGAGAUUCAAAGCCUCCCCAACUCUGUUUCCCCCGUCCCUUCUGAAUUUAAUUUGCACUAAGUCAUUUGCACUGGUUGGAGUUGUGGAGACAGCCUUGAGUCUCGGUGCGAGUGUGCGUGAGUGUGAGCCACCUUGGCAAGUGCCCGCCCAGGGCCCGGCCGCCCUUCAUCUGGGCUGGGUGACUGGGCGCCGGCUGUGUGCCCGAGGCCUCACUCUGCCCUCGCCUAGUCUGGAAGCUCCAACAUCACGGGGCAGCCUUCAAGCAUUCCAUUACGCCCCAUCUCGCCCUGUGCCCCUCCCCACCAGGGCUUCAGCAGGAGCCCUGGACUCAUCAUCAAUAAACACUGUUACAGCAA